Molecule: non-coding RNA, 1255 nt
Organism: Schizosaccharomyces pombe (fission yeast)
Lineage: Eukaryota; Fungi; Ascomycota; Schizosaccharomycetes; Schizosaccharomycetales; Schizosaccharomycetaceae
Source: the annotation of a GenBank genome assembly
CCAACACCGUCCAAGACGACAACCUUUUCCUUGGAAAGUGUUGUGAAGUUACAUGUAGUUGGUGGCUACUUUAAAAAUGUAAUUGAUGACUUGUUGAAUGGGCAUUGGUGAUUAAAAGUCGAAAAAUCUUCGUUUCUUGGAGCAGCGCAUACGUCGUGCAUCCGUCGCGUUAACAAAUAGUGGUACUAAUGUGUACUUUAACUUUGUAAUGGAUUGGUUGACGAUUCCUAAAAAGUUACAAUGCAAAAAGUAUGAACAAGAUUUUGUUUAGAAAUUUAGGAACGGCAUGCUUGGAAAGAGAGCACUAUGAUGAUGACCUUUGUUUUCAUUCAUCCCGCCAUGACCCCCGACUGCGACUGCGACCGUGACCCAUUCUUAACUAACCCCUCGACAAAGCGGUUUGUUGAAAAGCAUAGAGAAAUAACGAAAUCGAUGAAAUAGCAGUAUGGGUAUAAUAACGAUAUGGAUGUAUAGAACUCACAAAAGACAUCUACGAUACAUAUUGUUAUUUACCAUAUUUCAAAUUACAUGUUCUAACAUACAUACUCGUUAAUUACCUCUACGGUACUAUUGGAUCAAUAACGUUGUCAUUCGAUAUCACACUUUCCACACUGAAAGAAACUACUGCAGUAAGUCUCUUUUAGCUUUGCAAAAACGUUCUUGCCAGAUCCUCAACCUUGUCUGUGUUUAUUGCUUACGGUUGGCCAGCGUUUCGGUAAGUUGGAAAAUCUUCUUUUGUUACGCACGAGCGUUUUCGCUAUCGCUAUUCGGAAUUUGAAUCACUAUCGUGACGUUGCUACGCGAUAGCCGACCACUAAAGUGUGUACUGAUUAAAGCUGCAUGAUUUUUUGCUCAUGUAAACAAACACGUCAAAAAACCUUGUUUCUCGUUGUUACUAACAUUCGGAAUGUUGGACCAACUUCAACAUACCAGCACAUUCCUUCCUUAACACAAAGAGAAUUUAAAUGCUAGUGUUUGCAUUGUGGCUUGCUUGUUAGACUACGCUAUCAGCUAUUUAACCCUACUGCGAUACAACACCUUGUUUGAUCUUGCCUUCAGUGAUGCGCUGCUGCUUCUCUCUCCUUCCUUUCCUAACUGCGUCUGCUCAAGUAGGCGGUGAUGUCAGGGUACAAGGGUACAUCUCGGAAAAAUUUUUCAUCUGCAGAUAUCAACGCGAGUACUUCGGGAAAACUUUAACUGACGUCAGUGAUGUCGGAAAAUCUUCGGCUCUUGUCAAGGAUGGCUCUUGGCCGAG